GUGGCUGGGGAAGGCGGAGGUGUCAGUGGAGUGCCGCGCGAUGUGGUGGAUUCUGCCAUCCUUAACCUGUAUCACAGCGGGACAGGUCUCCUCUGGGAACACCACGGCGGAGCUGACGAACACCCUCACUCCCUCCAUAACCUCAACUCCUCUCCUUGCUGGUACACCUACCAUCAGUGCCUUCUACCCUUACUCCAAGGAACAACUACUUCCUGCAGAAAGGGAAUAAAAAGAAAACCUAGUUGAGCACUUACCGAUGCACAUAGUCCUCAUAGUGAUUAGGAGCAUCAAAGUUAACUACUAAAAUCAGCUGCUUCACAUCAAGACCUCGAGCCGCUACUGAUGUGGCUACCAGUAUGGGUACUCGACCAGCCUUAAAGUCCA
This is a long non-coding RNA of Portunus trituberculatus (swimming crab), 384 nucleotides long. RefSeq lists it as uncharacterized. Lineage: Eukaryota; Metazoa; Arthropoda; Malacostraca; Decapoda; Portunidae. The transcript has 3 exons. The record is from RefSeq and is a predicted model, not a curated record.